GGUUCGAUCAUGGCUCAGAUUGAACGCUGGCGGGAUGCUUUACACAUGUAAGUCGAACGGCGUACGGACUUCGGUCUGGUGGCGAGUGGCGAACGGGUGAGUAAUGUAUCGGAACGUGCCUAGUAGCGGGGGAUAACUACGCGAAAAGGGUAGCUAAUACCGCAUACGCCCUUCGGGGGAAAGCGGGGACCUUCGGGCCUCGCACCAGGAGCGGCCGAUAUCGGAUUAGCUAGUUAUGGGGUAACGGCUCACCAUAGCGACGAUCCAGCUGGUUUGAGAGGACGACCAGCCACUGGGACUGGAGACACGGCCCAGACUCCUACGGGAGGCAGCAGUGGGGAAUUUUGGACAAUGGGGGAAACCCCGAUCCAGCCAUCCCGCGUGUGCGAUGAAGGCCUUCGGGUUGUAAAGCACUUUGGCAGGAAAAAGAAACGGCACGGGAUAAUACCCCGUGCAACUGACGGUACCUGCAGAAUAAGCACCGGCUAACUACGUGCCAGCAGCCGCGGUAAUACGUAGGGUGCAAGCGUUAAUCGGAAUUACUGGGCGUAAAGCGUGCGCAGGCGGUUCGGAAAGAAAGAUGUGAACCCCAGAGCUUAACUUUGGAACUGCAUUUUUAACUACCGAGCUAGAGUGUGUCAGAGGGGAGGUGGAAUUCCGUGUAGCAGUGAAAUGCAGAUAUGCGGAGGAACACCGAUGGCGAAGGCAGCCUGGGGAUAACACUGACGCUCAUGCACGAAAGCGUGGGGAUAAACAGGAUUAGAUAAUUCUGGUAGUCCACGCCUCUAAACGAUGUCAACUAGCUGCUGGGGCCUUCGGGCCUUGCAGCGCAGCUAACGCGGUGAAGUUGACCGCCUGGGGAGUACGGUCGCAAGAUUGGAAACUCAAAGGAAUUGACGGGGACCCGCACAAGCGGUGGAUGAUGUGGAUUAAUUCGGAUGCAACGCGAAAACCUUACCUACCCUUGACAUGUCUGGAAUCCCGAAGAGAUUUGGAGUGUUUGCAAGAGAACCGAACACAGGUGCUGCAUGGCUGUCGUCAGCUCGUGUCGUGAGAUGUUGGGUUAAGUCCCGCAACGAGCGCAACCCUUGUCAUUAGUUGGUUACGAAAGGGCACUCCCAUCGAGACUGCCGGUGACAAACCGGAGGAAGGUGGGGAUGACGUCAAGUCCUCAUGGCCCUUAUGGGUAGGGCUUCACACGUCAUACAAUGGUCGGGACAGAGGGUCGCCAACCCGCGAGGGGGAGCCAAUCCCAGAACCCUGAUCGUAGUCGUCCGGAUCGCAGUCUGCAACUCGACUGCGUGAAGUCGGAAUCGCUAGUAAUCGCGGAUCAGCAUGUCGCGAAUACGUCCCUGGCCUGUACACACCGCCCGUCACACCAUGGGAGUGGGUUUUACCAGAAGUAGUUAGCCUAACCGUAAGGAGGGCGAUUACCACGGUAGGAUUCAUGAUUGGGGUGAAGUCGUAACAAGGUAA
RNAcentral lists this ribosomal RNA (1476 nucleotides) under uncultured Bordetella sp. RNAcentral describes it as "partial 16S-23S ribosomal RNA intergenic spacer". It matches the Rfam family "Bacterial small subunit ribosomal RNA". The record is from RNAcentral. Lineage: Bacteria; Pseudomonadati; Pseudomonadota; Betaproteobacteria; Burkholderiales; Alcaligenaceae.